GAGGUCUAAGCUCCACCAAUUGAAGCUUCAAUGUGAAACUUCAAUGGCGUGUUAUGAGGAAGAGCUUUACUGAGGGUUGAUUCCAAGGGAGAGAGAGGAUCUGAGAUCGAUCUUCGUGAGAAUUCUGAGAGUGAAACGUUGAGAGCUGCAACUGAACUGGGAUGAGAGCUCUUAUAGAGUCCAGUUCUGUUACAAAUUCACCUGAAAUUUAGGUUAAAUGUAGAUUGAAAGUAAGAAGUUAGUUGUGAAAUGCAUUAGUUAGUUAGUUGGUUGAUUCAUUAUGUUAAUCCAUUGGUGUUAAUUUGAGAAGAAUUUGGAACUCAUUUGGACUAUGAAUCCGAAGUCAGUUUAAAAAUGAAAUUU
This 363-nucleotide long non-coding RNA is filed under the name Lathyrus oleraceus (garden pea). Its description in RNAcentral is "Pisum sativum (pea) long non-coding RNA (PSAT_LNC019741)". The record is from RNAcentral. Lineage: Eukaryota; Viridiplantae; Streptophyta; Magnoliopsida; Fabales; Fabaceae.